CCAGACUCCUACGGGAGGCAGCAGUGGGGAAUAUUGCACAAUGGGGGAAACCCUGAUGCAGCGACGCCGCGUGGGCGAGGAAGUACCUCGGUAUGUAAAGCCCUAUCAGCAGGGAAGAAACAGGACAGUACCUGACUAAGAAGCCCCGGCUAACUACGUGCCAGCAGCCGCGGUAAUACGUAGGGGGCAAGCGUUAUCCGGAUUUACUGGGUGUAAAGGGAGCGUAGACGGCUGUGCAAGUCUGAAGUGAAAUGCCGGGGCCCAACCCCGGAACUGCUUUGGAAACUGUACAGCUAGAGUGCAGGAGGGGGGAGCGGAAUUCCUAGUGUAGCGGUGAAAUGCGUAGAUAUUAGGAGGAACACCGGUGGCGAAGGCGGCUCACUGGACUGUAACUGACGUUGAGGCUCGAAAGCGUGGGGAGCAAACAGGAUUAGAUACCCCAGUAAUA
RNAcentral lists this ribosomal RNA (448 nucleotides) under uncultured bacterium. RNAcentral describes it as "bacterial SSU rRNA". It matches the Rfam family "Bacterial small subunit ribosomal RNA", at positions 331 to 795 of the family's 1533-position model. The record is from RNAcentral.